This 432-nucleotide ribosomal RNA is filed under the name uncultured bacterium. RNAcentral describes it as "partial 16S ribosomal RNA". It matches the Rfam family "Bacterial small subunit ribosomal RNA", at positions 29 to 507 of the family's 1533-position model. The record is from RNAcentral.
ACGAACGCUGGCGGCAUGCCUAACACAUGCAAGUCGAGCGAGACCUUCGGGUCUAGUGGCGCACGGGUGCGUAACGCGUGGGAACCUGCCUUUAGGUUCGGAAUAACUCAGAGAAAUUUGAGCUAAUACCGGAUGAUGUCUUCGGACCAAAGAUUUAUCGCCUUUAGAUGGGCCUGCGUUGGAUUAGCUAGUUGGUGGGGUAAAGGCCUACCAAGGCGACGAUCCAUAGCUGGUCUGAGAGGAUGAUCAGCCACACUGGGACUGAGACACGGCCCAGACUCCUACGGGAGGCAGCAGUAGGGAAUAUUGGACAAUGGGCGAAAGCCUGAUCCAGCAAUGCCGCGUGAGUGAUGAAGGCCUUAGGGUUGUAAAGCUCUUUUACCCGAGAUGAUAAUGACAGUAUCGGGAGAAUAAGCUCCGGCUAACUCCGUG